CAGCCGCCGCGGUAAUACGUAGGGUGCAAGCGUUGUCCGGAUUUAUUGGGCGUAAAGAGCUCGUAGGCGGUUAGUCACGUCGGAUGUGAAAACCCGGAGCUUAACUCCGGGCCUGCAUUCGAUACGGGCUGACUAGAGUGUUGUAGGGGAGACUGGAACUCCUGGUGUAGCGGUGAAAUGCGCAGAUAUCAGGAAGAACACCGGUGGCGAAGGCGGGUCUCUGGGCAACUACUGACGCUGAGGAGCGAAAGCGUGGGGAGCAAACAGGAUUAGAUACCCUGGUAGUCCACGCCGUAAACGGUGGGCGCUAGGUGUGGGGAACAUUCCACGUUCUCCGUGCCGCAGCUAACGCAUUAAGCGCCCCGCCUGGGGAGUACGGCCGCAAGGCUAAAACUCAAAGGAAUUGACGG
RNAcentral lists this ribosomal RNA (410 nucleotides) under uncultured bacterium. RNAcentral describes it as "bacterial SSU rRNA". It matches the Rfam family "Bacterial small subunit ribosomal RNA", at positions 509 to 916 of the family's 1533-position model. The record is from RNAcentral.